GCCCAUAGCUCAGUGGUUAGAGUGCUGGACUUCUGAUCAACAGGUCACGGGUUCGAGCCUCGUGUAGGGCA
Molecule: transfer RNA, 71 nt
Filed under: Schistocephalus solidus
Lineage: Eukaryota; Metazoa; Platyhelminthes; Cestoda; Diphyllobothriidea; Diphyllobothriidae
Rfam family: tRNA
About the family: Transfer RNA (tRNA) molecules are approximately 80 nucleotides in length. Their secondary structure includes four short double-helical elements and three loops (D, anti-codon, and T loops).
Source: Rfam by way of RNAcentral